AAAACAGAAGUCCACGGCCAGAAUCUGAUGCAUACCCGGAUAAACCGCGGACGCCAACGAACCACGGAGAACGCGCGUAUAGUUUACAGAUGCAAUGGAUGACCUAAAUAAGGACCAGAUAGCUCUGCUGAAGAAAGCCUUCGACGCUUUCGAUCAUGAAAAGAAGGGCAGCAUCGGUACUAACAUGGUGGGUACUAUAUUGACCAUGUUGGGUCACGAGCUUAGCGAAAGCACGCUGCAGGAAAUCAUCAGCGAAGUAGAUGAGGACGGUUCUGGUGAACUCGAGUUCGAGGAGUUUUGCACGCUAGCUGCUAGAUUCUUGGUAGAAGAGGAUUCUGAAGCGAUGCAACAAGAAUUACGUGAGGCAUUCCGAUUGUACGACAAAGAGGGAAACGGCUAUAUAACUACCGCUGUGUUUCGCGAUAUUCUCCACGAACUCGAUGACAAGCUAUCGCCGGAAGAACUUGAUCUUAUGAUUGAAGAGAUUGACGCUGAUGGCUCAGGGACGCUUGAUUUUGACGAGUUUAUGGAAGUCAUGACAGGAGGUGACGACUAAGGCGAGCGACUACGGCUGAUAACGAACGGGCACUCGAAGGCCGAGGUUGGCCGCGCAAUUGGCAAUAUCCGUCAGAGAGAUCGAGCGUUCCUUCUUCAUCAGCCUGCGCACAUACGCUUCUGUAAACUGCUAAAUUACGACCGAGCGGAAAAUUGGACGUUAACGAUCAACUCGUGCUAUCAUUGGCUGACGAUCGGCGGCUUUCAUCAAGGUGCAAGCUUUCUGAUGGCAUAACAUAUCCAUCAUACAAUUCAUUUCC
This 815-nucleotide unclassified non-coding RNA is filed under the name Ooceraea biroi (clonal raider ant). RNAcentral's name for it is "troponin C-like, transcript variant X1". The record is from RNAcentral. Lineage: Eukaryota; Metazoa; Arthropoda; Insecta; Hymenoptera; Formicidae.